RNAcentral lists this ribosomal RNA (305 nucleotides) under uncultured bacterium. Its description in RNAcentral is "partial 16S ribosomal RNA". It matches the Rfam family "Bacterial small subunit ribosomal RNA", at positions 508 to 807 of the family's 1533-position model. The record is from RNAcentral.
ACAGCAGUAGCCGCGGGAAUACAGAGGGUGCGAGCGUUAAUCGGAUUUACUGGGCGUAAAGCGUGCGUAGGCGGCUUUUUAAGUCGGAUGUGAAAUCCCCGAGCUUAACUUGGGAAUUGCAUUCGAUACUGGGAAGCUAGAGUAUGGGAGAGGAUGGUAGAAUUCCAGGUGUAGCGGUGAAAUGCGUAGAGAUCUGGAGGAAUACCGAUGGCGAAGGCAGCCAUCUGGCCUAUUACUGACGCUGAGGUACGAAAGCAUGGGGAGCAAACAGGAUUAGAUACCCCGGUAGUCCCUGUCUCUUAUAC